GCGCGAAAACUUUACAAUGCGGGAAACCGCGAUAAGGGGACACUGAGUGCCAGCACCAUAUGCUGGCUGUCCGCAUGUAUAAAUCACAUGUGUCAGCAAGGGCCGGGCAAGACCGGUGCCAGCCGCCGCGGUAACACCGGCGGCCCGAGUGGUGGCCAUUAUUAUUGGGUCUAAAGGGUCCGUAGCCGGUUUGAUCAGUCUUCCGGGAAAUCUGACAGCUCAACUGUUAGGCUUCUGGGGGAUACUGUCAGACUUGGAACCGGGAGAGGUAAGAGGUACUACAGGGGUAGGAGUGAAAUCUUGUAAUCCUUGUGGGACCACCAGUGGCGAAGGCGUCUUACCAGAACGGGUUCGACGGUGAGGGACGAAAGCUGGGGGCACGAACCGGAUUAGAUACCCGGGUAGUCCCAGCCGUAAACGAUGCUCGCUAGGUGUCUGGGAUGGUGCGACCGUUUCAGGUGCCGCAGGGAAGCCGUGAAGCGAGCCACCUGGGAAGUACGGCCGCAAGGCUGAAACU
RNAcentral lists this ribosomal RNA (517 nucleotides) under uncultured Methanolobus sp. Its description in RNAcentral is "bacterial SSU rRNA". It matches the Rfam family "Archaeal small subunit ribosomal RNA", at positions 339 to 856 of the family's 1478-position model. Lineage: Archaea; Methanobacteriati; Methanobacteriota; Methanomicrobia; Methanosarcinales; Methanosarcinaceae. The record is from RNAcentral.